UUUUUCCUUAAUUUAUUUUUCUACCACACAAGAAACAUGAGUUGCCUGCAUUUUUUUCCCUGAUUGCCUACACAUAUACUCAACUUGCCCAAAAGCUUUGACAAGUUUGAAGAUCAACCAAAAAACAACAGCCUCGCGCAACCUACAACACUCUGCAGAUACUUGCAAAAAAUUCAAGCAUAAACUAGAAUAGUAAUUUCAAGAGAGGGUUUCCAUGUGUUUUCAGCACGAGUUGCCUGGAAAUCAUUCCAGACUUGCAUGCACAUCAUACCAACCUGCGCCGCUUCUGCAUGCGCAGCAGUCAAGAGCUCGGCGAACAGGAGGUGGAGGUACGAGUAGGCGAUGCGUGAGCUGUGUCGAGGUUCGUGCUGCCGUCAAAGAGCUCGUGCAAUCGCCCGCAAAUUUCCGGUAAGCAACUCGUUCUCGAUUCAGCAGUUUUUUCGCAGUAAAUCAGCCGGUUUUCACUGCAGGAGGGUGACCGAUGGGGAUGCGUGUGCGAGAUGAGGUGUCAUGUCCGCGCAAGGGGCUGGUUAUAGGAGCGUUAGAUGCGUGAAUAAUUGGGGUUUGUGGUUCGUGAGAUGCACGAGGGGCUUGAGAGAGAGAGAGAGAGAAUAAUUGGGGUUUGUGGUUCGUGAGAUGCACAACGAGGGGCUAGAGAGAGAGAGAGAGAGAGAGUAAACUAUUCUAACUGUAGUUUAGAGGGGAGUAGCAGAGGAUGUAGCAGAUGUUGCCCGUUUUCUGUAAUGAGAUCUGCCAGGCUACCCGUAUGAGAUUUGCUUGAUCCAUCUGCUAGUACCGAGGGGGAAGUAAUUGCAUCCUAUGAGUAACAUGAGAUAGUUUUGAGAUAUCUUGUCAGAUUUUCUGUAGUGAUAUAUGGAGUAUAUGACAUUGAUAUCCUUGAUAUAAUUACCCGACUAGCAUCUGCUAUACUUUUCCUUGGGAACUUUUGCCUAAUACUUGUUUUCUUACUUGCCUGCUAUUUGUCAGGGGUUUUGCCUAAUAGCUGUUUGUCUAUAUGCCUAUGUAUUUUGUCAAGAUUUUUAUCAAUCCAUUAUUGGCACUGUUUUUGUCAACUGCAAUUAGUUUUCUGAAUAGGUGUCCAUUGAUUUCAGUUUUCUCAAUAGGGAUAUCCAUUAGUUACACAUCAUAAAAAACUGGAUAAAAUCCUUAACUUCCUCCAUCAUACCUUGUACUGGGCAGUAGAUAAAAUAGUACAUCUUGAUUUUUUUAGAUCAGAGCACAACUUGCCGGCAACCUCUAAUGCAUUUGCCCACGGGACACAGCACAACUUGAUUUUUUAGGACAUUUUCUUUUCAAGGAACCAAAUAUAGGUCCACACAAGUUAAAAUAGAGUUCCUCACAAUAUAGAUUCACGUUUUUUCCAGAAUAUUUUUCUUCGGCAAGCAAGCUAAUGAGUGGCUGCAGAAUCUAUGGGAAUUGCAUACAAACCCAGUACGAGUUGCUAAAUUUUAAUCUUUUUCUAAACAAAACCUUGAGUUGCCUGUAUAUACUAUGCAAUUUGCUUAGAUUAGAGCACUACUUGCUUACAACCACUAAUGCACAUUUCCUAGGGGACACACCACAACUUGAUGUUCACACAAUAUAGGUCCACAUUGUGGACGAUGAAAAGUGUUCGAUCCACAAUGCGCGCGACGGGAGGGGGGACGCCGAGGUGGAAUUUUUGCAGGCAACAUGCUGGGAGGCGGUUGUUGGAUGGGGGGGCGAGAGGGAUAGGGCGGAUAGGAAUGGCACUUCUGUUAAGCAAGCAAAAGUAAGAAGUCGUGGACUAUACUCUAGACCGAGAAAGUAUGCAGAAAAAAAACAUGCUUUCUUCUAGUCAAUCUAUAAUAUUUGUGCGCAUUGGGUUCUAGCCAAAAAAUAUGCUUUCUUCUAGAGCCAAGGGGGCAGUGCCAUCUGUGCGGCACGACCACCUAGUGGGGUGGAGCUAGAUCCGGGAAAGCAUUGUCUCGAGUGGUCGAGGAACUAGGCCGCAAAUCAUUGUAAGUAUCUCGAAAUCGACCCCCUAAGCAUGUGUUUCUCUACUCACAUCUACAAUUCUAUGUGAUAGAGGCGGAAUAGGGAGGUUGAAGAGGGGUGUGGGGGUCCCAUGUUUAUGGGCGAAUUGAUGAUUUUGAGCGCGGCGGUGGUUUGCGACUUGGGGAUGUGGGGGGCUGGAAUCGGGUACUGAUUUCAGCAGAAAGUUUUCAAAACUUGCCCAACGCAUGACAGUUAGUUGCUAGAGAUGCCGGUGUAAGUCGCCCAAAGAUCCGGUCCCGAGAUGGGGGGCUGGAAUCGUCGAUGAUUCGAGCCGAAAGUAUCCAAAACUUGCCCAACUCAUGAUAGGUAGUUGCUAGAGAUGCUAGCGUAAGUUGCCAAAGAUCCGCCCCAAUAUAUUGGGGCUGGAAUCGUCUAUGACUUGAGCUGAAAGUGUCCAAAACUUGCCCAACGCAUGAUAGCUAGUCGCUAGAGAUGCCUGCAUAAGUUGCCAAAGAUCCGCUCCCGAGAAGCGGGCUCUGAAAUCGUCUAUGAUUUGAGCCAAAAGUGUCGAAAACUUGUCCAAGACAUGAUAGUUAGUUGCUAGAGAUGUUGGCAUGAGUUGCCCAAAGAUCCACUGCCGAGAUGCGGGGGCUGGAAUCGUCAAUGUUUUGAGCCAAAAGUGUCCAAACUUUCCCAACACAUGAUAGUUAGUUGCUAGAGAUGCUGGCGUGAGUUGCCCAAAGAUGAGAACAUUGGGUUUUAUUUUCGCCCAAAAUUUUCCCGAUGUAUGAUAGUUGGUUGCUAGAGAGGUUGGCGCGAGUUUCCCAAAGAUUUUUUUAGCAAAAAAAUGAUUUUAUUUUGCACACAAGUUGUGUUUUCUAAUCGGAUAAGUUGUCUACAUGUAAAUAGUUCUUGCCUAAAUCAUUUAAGUUUUGUAAAUAUGGUUUUGUAGACGUUUUUGCCUAAACAGAUUGUUUGUUCCGUUUGCAGGGCCUCACUGAAUUAUAAAGUCAAAGCAACAUUUUUUGAGGUUUUGUGCACAAGCCCAAACAAGAAGGUUCAACAUCCACUUCCUGGUAAGCUUCGCACAAAGAUAUCCAACUUUUUUAUUUCAGCAAAAAAAAAGUGGAGUUGCUUACUACCAACAGUGAUUUUUCUUAAACAAAUCCUAGAAUUUGGCUGCUCUUUUUUGUUUUCUCAACACAAUCCUAGUACCAAAAACAACUUAAGAAAAGCAUCAAGGGUUUCUCUGGAUGUACAACAGCCAGUAGUUCGAGAAAGGAAAUCAAAACAGUUUUCAUGUACAGACAGGACUAACUUUUUGUCAAUACUUGAUUUGCUUAAAAACCCGCUAUAGUUGCUCACUAAUUCCUUUUUACCUUUUUUUGCAAUAGAUGUAGUAAAAUCAAUACUGGCUGCUCAUGCCAGAAGAAACAAGGGGAAAACACUAAAAAAUAGUUGCAAUCAGGAUGAACAAGGUGAGAAAGAAAAUCAAACCUGCUCUUUCUUUUCCUCCUCUACACGCCAGGUCAUUCUGAUUCGAUGUGUGGGUUGGUUAGUUAAAUAUUAAACGAGAAAAAUAUGGGCCAAUUUUGCCUGAAUUUUUAUAUGCAAGUUUUUUCUUAGAAGAAAUCCAUAUAAAGGUGAAACAUUUUUAUCUGUUUUUUGCUUCUUGGGGUUUUGAGCAUGGGUGGCCUAUAAAUCAAUCUCUUUUUUCACAUGCAUACACAUCAGCCCUAGGAGAUACCUGUCCAAAAUCCAAUGCACAAGCUAAAAGCAGAACUUCAAGAGGGUUAUGUUUGUUUUUAUUCACACAACUAAAAAAACAUGAGUUGCCUGUAAACCAUUCCCUACUUGCCCAAACAUUAUAGAAACUUGCCUAGAUAUGUGAAUAGCUAGAAACACAACCAACACAGCAGCUACAGUUAGAGCAAAUCCCCAUAUAGAUACAUUGCCCAAAAUCCAGUAGUGAAAUUCACAACGAAACACAGCAGCUACUACUACAAUUGCGAAACAUGUAGUUCAACAAGACAUUUGCCCCAAAAUUCACUAGUAAAAGCCAAACCUUGUAACUUUGAAGACCUCUUUUUUCCUUAAUUUAUUUUUCUACCACACAAGAAACAUGAGUUGCCUGCAUUUUUUUCCCUGAUUGCCUACACAUAUACUCAACUUGCCCAAAAGCUUUGACAAGUUUGAAGAUCAACCAAAAAACAACAGCCUCGCGCAACCUACAACACUCUGCAGAUACUUGCAAAAAAUUCAAGCAUAAACUAGAAUAGUAAUUUCAAGAGAGGG
RNAcentral lists this long non-coding RNA (4272 nucleotides) under Triticum aestivum (bread wheat). RNAcentral's name for it is "long non-coding RNA (TAES_LNC021111)". Lineage: Eukaryota; Viridiplantae; Streptophyta; Magnoliopsida; Poales; Poaceae. The record is from RNAcentral.